GACGAACGCUGGCGGCGUGCUUAACACAUGCAAGUCGAACGAAGAGCGAUGGAAGCUUGCUUCUAUCAAUCCUAGUGGCGAACGGGUGAGUAACGCGUAAUCAACCUGCCCUUCAGAGGGGGACAACAGUUGGAAACGACUGCUAAUACCGCAUACGAUCUAACCUCGGCAUCGAGGAUAGAUGAAAGGUGGCCUCUACAUGUAAGCUAUCACUGAAGGAGGGGAUUGCGUCUGAUUAGCUAGUUGGAGGGGUAACGGCCCACCAAGGCGAUGAUCAGUAGCCGGUCUGAGAGGAUGAACGGCCACAUUGGGACUGAGACACGGCCCAGACUCCUACGGGAGGCAGCAGUGGGGAAUCUUCCGCAAUGGACGAAAGUCUGACGGAGCAACGCCGCGUGAGUGAUGACGGCCUUCGGGUUGUAAAGCUCUGUUAAUCGGGACGAAAGGCCUUCUUGCGAAUAGUGAGAAGGAUUGACGGUACCGGAAUA
Molecule: ribosomal RNA, 488 nt
Filed under: Veillonella parvula
Lineage: Bacteria; Bacillati; Bacillota; Negativicutes; Veillonellales; Veillonellaceae
Description: bacterial SSU rRNA
Rfam family: Bacterial small subunit ribosomal RNA
Source: RNAcentral